Long non-coding RNA from Numida meleagris (helmeted guineafowl), 734 nucleotides. RefSeq lists it as uncharacterized. The record is from RefSeq and is a predicted model, not a curated record. The transcript is spliced from 4 exons. Lineage: Eukaryota; Metazoa; Chordata; Aves; Galliformes; Numididae.
UGGAGAAGGAGGCUAAGAAGUGCUGUUGCCCAUGGCAGCAUGCAGCUGGAGGAGCACCAAAGCUGGCUGCAGGGGCCCUGAGCAGAGGGACCUCCAAGCAGCUCUGCAUGCUGUGCCUCAGCCGGGCCCUGGCGGCCAUCUGAAGGAGCAGCCUGCUCUGGCAACCUGCCUUGGCCUUCACAAAAUGGAGGCAGCCGCCUGUGGGCAAACGGAGAUCACAGCACAGUGACAUGCAAAGGAGUUUGAGAGGCUGGUCUCCUGCAAGACCAUAGAUUUUGCUUUCUACUACCAAGCCAGAGCACACACUGACUCUGCAAUGUUGAGACAAAAACACCUACAGAGUAGACCACAAAGUCCCCUGCUACCAGGUGAAGGGCUAGGCUUCUAGUGACAGAAAUGGAAUGAACUCCCAUUGUGUGAAAUUCAGAUUGCUUUGAAGCGUGUUGUGGUUUCUGUACUGCUUGCACACUGUUCUCCAAAAUUCUCCAACAACCUGAGAGCCUGCCAGGGAUUUGGUUGCAUUCUGAUUUGUACUGGUGGCAGACAAAUAUAUGAAGUGGAGUGUCCACUGAAGCCUUGGGAAUGGCUCACUUAGUAGAUCACUCACCCGAUGGCAUGCAAAAAGGAGAAAGCAAUGCUUGCAGUCAACAAAUCCUCUGCAAGAGGGAAUGGACUCUUCUCCAAGUAAAAUAUUGAUGAACCUAUAUAUUAAAUAUUUAAAAUAACAAGAAAAG